Acipenser ruthenus (sterlet) is the source of this 894-nucleotide long non-coding RNA. RefSeq lists it as uncharacterized. The record is from RefSeq and is a predicted model, not a curated record. The transcript is spliced from 4 exons. Lineage: Eukaryota; Metazoa; Chordata; Actinopteri; Acipenseriformes; Acipenseridae.
GUGCUCCUGACCUACUUUCUCUUUCUAGCUGUGAGAACUCUGCAGAUGAGUACUUGACCAUCUUUCACCCAGUCUCCAGCAAUGCAAGAGUGCUGUUCCCUUCCCAUCUGAAAAGGUUUGAAGUGAAAAUGUUUUCCUUCACAAGCGGCCAGGAUGCACUGAAAGGACAGAUUUACUUCCACUGCAGUGUUGUGAUAUGUGAUUCAAACCGGCCAUCAGACAGCCUCUGUAGCAGACGGUGCAUUCCAGGAAAACAGAGGCUUGGUCGCAGUGCUGAAGGGAUGGAUGGUGGUGCAGUAAAGGCGUUUGUGUCUUCUGGCCCAAUUGAGCUGAAGAGAGAUGGAUCCCUUCACUUUAUGCCUAGAAGCGCCCAAUUCAAUGCGUGGUCCGUUCUGGGAGCUGCAAUGGGUGUGUGUUCAGUGGUUGUCAUUGUAGCUGGAGUUGUAUCUUUCUGGAAAAUGCCCAAAAGUGUGUAUUGAUAAAUAAAUAAAAAUCUUGCUUGUAAAGGCUGUCUGGAUUGUGUGGGGUGUGUGGGGUUUUUUUUUUUUUGUUUGUUUGGGUGCUUGACUAAUUCUACACAGAUUAUAUAUUGGUGUGUGUCAGAAUGGCCAUGUUAAUGGGAUUCUCUCCUCUUACUGCUUUGCUUGUUUCCUGAUCAGGCCAUUCUCAAUAUGGUGUGUUAUUCAAGGACCCUUCAUUAAUUCAUUGUGAAGCCGGGGCAAAGACUUUCCUCCUCCAUUGAGCUGUAACCCUAUUUUUAUAUUCCUUCUUGCUUUGACAUGCUACUUUCAGUAUGCAAAAUUUAGGGUGAAAUUAUCAACACUCUAUAAUAUAUAAUACCAUGUUAUAGCAUCACAAAGUGUGUAGAUUUAUAUGGGCUGUCUUUUUUUCUGU